CAAAGGCCGAGCCCCCAACCCCUACCCCGGCCCUUCAUUUCGACUGAUCUACAUCGCCAUCAGCAAAGACAAGAGGUCAUGACGACGGCGGAGGAGGUCGGCAAUGGACUGGAGUUCUUAUCAGAUCUGGUGGAUAGGUUCCCCUUGCUGGAUCUUGCAUCAAUCGAUUUCAAUCCAGCGGGUGAACUGGAUACUUGUUUUACACAGUCAGCUGUUGAAUCGAGCAUGGGAGAUAUUGGCGACGCUCCGCUUACAAUCCAGGUCGCUGAGAACAACGGCUGCGAGGAACUGAGCUUGUCGGCGGCCGAUUCACAACAAUCAACAGGAAAAGAUGACCGUCAGGCCCCCGGGUGGACAAAAAGGGUUCAUAUUGGGCGAGCCCCUCUCGAGCGUCCACCUUGUGCUGGAAGAGUAUGUGCCCUUGAGAAAACAUUAAGAGGAUAUGCGGAAAAGAGAACAAAUACCGUUGUAGUACCAGCUGUUGGAUACAACUUCGGUUCAUUGGGGGAGGCGUACGACUUCUAUAACCUAUAUUCGUGGGAAAUUUGAUUGGGAAUAAGAUACGGAAAAAGUAGGCUCAACGUCGAGAGAACCAAAUGUAUGCAAGAGAUAGUAUCUGGAUGCUCGGAUAUGUGCCAGCAAGCUGCCCCAUGCACAUAUGAAGGCAAUAUAUGAGGUUUCUUUUCGAUCAAGAGGCGAAUGAUAACUAUGAAGAGCGACGAACAAAGAUAGUCAACACACCACUGGAGUUCCACGCUAGCAAGAUCUACACUCGAGCUAUGUUUGAGAAUUUUGGUGAGGUCCUGUAUGAAGCAGGACAAUACAGGGUAGAAGUUAAAAAUGGUUCGAAAUAUCACUUACACCGGUACCACCCAGAGAGAUACGAGAAGUAGUGUAGAGUACUAUACAUACUACAUAGUGCAUGUCGUCGCUGAGGAUGAAGAACUCUCAUGUGAAUGUGGUAACUUCAAGCACACAUGACUGUAUGCUGCCGUUCAGUUAAGGUUCUUGAUUUCUUGGGUAUAGACAAAAUUUCAUCAAAGCAUAUCCUCAAAAGGUGGACAAAAGAUGCAAGAGAUAUACUUCCAACCCACUUGUCACACCUACAAAGAGACAAGAUUUCAGCCAAUUCCAUAACAUUCAGACAUUCAAAUUUUUAUACACAUGCUUUAGAGGUUGUAAAACUUGGUGAUGCAAAUCCAAUUGCAUAUGAUUGUGCGAUGGAACUUCUUAGGGCAGCAAUGGAUAAACUAACAUAUUUAGCUGCUGAGCAUGAUGGUUUGGGUUUGCAACACAAGAUUGAAAUGAAGAAGACAAAAGGUACAUAACUGACUCUCUUCCAAGGAGCACAACAUGGACACAUGAGCGAUGAUGAAGGUAGCGUUGUCAAAUAUUUCAUUGGAUUAUCAGCUCCAGAACAAAAACGCAAGGCCGGUCGACCAACAAACAGCAGAGACAAGCCUCCAUAUGAUGACCGGUUUGCAAAGAGCAAAAAAAAUAAGGUCACAUCAUAAGUUGAUACAGGUAUUGGAUGCAGUACAAGCAAACGAACACGGUUCUGCACUAUAUGCCGUGGCCCUGGUCAAAAGAGCACAACGUGUCCGCUAAUAGGGGACACUCCUCAAAAGAAAAGGAAAGAAUCAAAAUGCUCAAUCUGCGGAGUGGGAGGGCAUCGAAAGAACACCUGCACAUGGAAAGCAACCUACUCAUGAUCCUAUUAUCGAACCAUGGGUAAUCUAUACAAGCAGCUAGCAUAUUUACCCUGUAUCCUGACUGCUCCCUACCAUGCACCUGAAAUACUUAUGUACUGUCAUCUUAGUAAUAUGUAUUUGCGUGAGCCCCUGAGCUGUCUAGAUGUGUUGUUUAAAACUAUUUCAUGCUUCAUGGUCCUGUAACAAAUAUCUCAGAUUAAUCUCCAUGUGCUACUGAUGACAUAUUCAUCUACUAUCCAUUACAUACACAUAUGCC
RNAcentral lists this ribosomal RNA (1968 nucleotides) under Triticum aestivum (bread wheat). RNAcentral describes it as "partial small subunit ribosomal RNA". Lineage: Eukaryota; Viridiplantae; Streptophyta; Magnoliopsida; Poales; Poaceae. The record is from RNAcentral.